This 253-nucleotide ribosomal RNA is filed under the name uncultured bacterium. RNAcentral's name for it is "partial 16S ribosomal RNA". It matches the Rfam family "Bacterial small subunit ribosomal RNA", at positions 524 to 776 of the family's 1533-position model. The record is from RNAcentral.
UACGUAGGGUGCGAGCGUUGUCCGGAAUUACUGGGCGUAAAGAGCUCGUAGGUGGUUUGUCGCGUUGUCCGUGAAAACUCACAACUCAAUUGUGGGCGUGCGGGCGAUACGGGCAGACUGGAGUACUGCAGGGGAGACUGGAAUUCCUGGUGUAGCGGUGGAAUGCGCAGAUAUCAGGAGGAACACCGGUGGCGAAGGCGGGUCUCUGGGCAGUAACUGACGCUGAGGCGCGAAAGCGUGGGGAGUAAACAGG